This 497-nucleotide ribosomal RNA is filed under the name uncultured bacterium. RNAcentral describes it as "partial 16S ribosomal RNA". It matches the Rfam family "Bacterial small subunit ribosomal RNA", at positions 28 to 507 of the family's 1533-position model. The record is from RNAcentral.
GAUGAACGCUGGCGGCGUGCCUAAUACAUGCAAGUCGAGCGAACAGACGAGGAGCUUGCUCCUCUGACGGUAGCGGCGGACGGGUGAGUAACACGUGGAUAACCUACCUAUAAGACUGGGAUAACUUCGGGAAACCGGAGCUAAUACCGGAUAAUAUAUUGAACCGCAUGGUUCAAUAGUGAAAGACGGUUUUGCUGUCACUUAUAGAUGGAUCCGCGCCGCAUUAGCUAGUUGGUAAGGUAACGGCUUACCAAGGCAACGAUGCGUAGCCGACCUGAGAGGGUGAUCGGCCACACUGGAACUGAGACACGGUCCAGACUCCUACGGGAGGCAGCAGUAGGGAAUCUUCCGCAAUGGGCGAAAGCUUGACGGAGCAACGCCGCGUGAGUGAUGAAGGUCUUCGGAUCGUAAAACUCUGUUAUUAGGGAAGAACAAAUGUGUAAGUAACUAUGCACGUCUUGACGGUACCUAAUCAGAAAGCCACGGCUAACUACGUG